AGAUGGAUAGCUUAGUGGUAGAGCAUUCGACUGCAGAUCGGAAGGUCCUCGCGGUUCAAACCCGAGUUCCCAUUUU
Non-coding RNA from Trichonephila inaurata madagascariensis, 76 nucleotides. NCBI's taxonomy places the organism in Eukaryota, Metazoa, Arthropoda, Arachnida, Araneae, Nephilidae. The record is from the annotation of a GenBank genome assembly.